CAGACUUGAUAAUCCCAGGAUCCCUUCUGGCCUUGCAUCUAUGAAUCUGCAUUAAGGACAUUCACAUACAUAGGGAGCCACAUUUCUACUUUGCAUCAUCAGAUUGAACCUCCUGCCAUGGGGUACCAGCAGGACAAUGGUGGCUUCUGAUGAAAGACCAUUUACACCAAAAGGAGCCAUAGAGAGCAAGCACACCUACACCAUUCCACAGACUGUCUUCAGAGAAGUGGCUCAGCAGGGAUGUUCUAUCCUGUUUGACCUCUGACAAUCUCUUAAACUCCCGUAAAGGCAGAAAAUCCC
This is a long non-coding RNA of Mauremys reevesii (Reeves's turtle), 300 nucleotides long. RefSeq lists it as uncharacterized. The record is from RefSeq and is a predicted model, not a curated record. NCBI's taxonomy places the organism in Eukaryota, Metazoa, Chordata, Testudines, Geoemydidae. The transcript has 3 exons.